RNAcentral lists this ribosomal RNA (460 nucleotides) under uncultured bacterium. Its description in RNAcentral is "partial 16S ribosomal RNA". It matches the Rfam family "Bacterial small subunit ribosomal RNA", at positions 338 to 795 of the family's 1533-position model. The record is from RNAcentral.
CCUACGGGAGGCAGCAGUGAGGAAUAUUGGUCAAUGGGCGGGAGCCUGAACCAGCCAAGUCGCGUGAGGGAAGACGGUCCUAUGGAUUGUAAACCUCUUUAGGCGGGGAGCAAUGCCGGGCACGUGUGCCCGGAGGGAGAGUACCCGCAGAAUAAGCAUCGGCUAACUCCGUGCCAGCAGCCGCGGUAAUACGGGGGAUGCGAGCGUUAUCGGGAUUUAUUGGGUUUAAAGGGUGCGUAGGCGGAUUUUGAAGUCAGCGGUAAAAUGUCCGGGCUCAACCCGGGCCGGCCGUUGAAACUGGGGAUCUGGAGGGGGCGAGAAGUAGGCGGAAUGCGUGGUGUAGCGGUGAAAUGCGUAGAUAUCAGGAAGAACUCCGGUGGCGAAGGCAGCAUACGGGCGCCCGACUGACGCUGAGGCACGAAAGCGUGGGGAGCGAACAGGAUUAGAUACCCUGGUAGUC